Molecule: non-coding RNA, 106 nt
Organism: Acanthosepion pharaonis
Lineage: Eukaryota; Metazoa; Mollusca; Cephalopoda; Sepiida; Sepiidae
Source: the annotation of a GenBank genome assembly
UACGGCCAUAUUACAUUGAAACAUUGGUUCUCGUACAAUCACCGAAGUUAAGCAACGUUGAAUCUGGUCAGUACCUAGAUGAGUGACCGCUUAGGAAACUCGAUGC